GGGGAGGGAGGGGGUGCUCCUAAGGUUGUAUAGCUCUGAGUAGAAUUUAUGAAAUGCUUCCAUUAUGUCAGGUAGGGCGUGUGAGAUGCCCUUGUCUGGGUGUUUAUCCUUCGCUAUGAAUGUUGUUUGCCUACUUUGUUUUAGCGCAGAGGCUAAGAGACGGCCGCACUUGCCACUGUAGUAAAAAUAGGAGUGUUUGGUGCGUAGUAGUGUGCGUUGGACCUGUGUGUUUAACAGUUGUUGUAGCUCUGUGCGUUUCGCGAGCAGUGCCUUAUAUGUCUGGAAUGAGUCUUUUUUUUUGUGGUGGAUUGCCUCUAGAGCCCGUAUAUCCUCUGUGAGGGAUUUAAUUUGACUCUCUUUUUUUUUUGUGUGGAUGCGAUGGCUAUGAGCUGUCCCCGUAACACACACUUAUGUGCUUCCCAUGUCACGGGGGGGAGGUCUGCGGUGAGGUGUUUUCUUUGAAGUACUGUUGAAUGGAGUCGUGUAUCUUUUUUAUCACUACUUUGUCAUUUAGUAGUAAGUCAUUUAAUUUCCAUUGGUAGGUUGUCAGGGUAUUUAUAUCGGCAGACAUUUUUGUGCUAUGAUAGAAAUUAAAAGUGUAUAUUCUGAGUCACUCUGAACAGACCAGACUCCAUUUUAUUAUUUUCAAGUUAACAAAGAGACACGAAAUUUCUAUCCUUUCUGUAAAACUAACCACUUUCCCAGAGCUAAAGGAAUGCAUAGUAUAUACAAACCAAGUGAUAAGGAGAACGGGGGUUGGAUAGACUGUCUAAAUGCUAAUGGAAUAGAUGCAUAUCUAAACACAGACAUUUGUGACAGAGGAGAUUAAAUAAUAAAAUUUUACUUUCCAUAUGUACAAGAUCCCAUUGUAAGUUACGGGUCAAAACUUAGUUAUAACUGUCAUAUUAGAAAUUAUAGCAGAAUUUGCCAGACACAUAGUCUGGACAAAACUUAAAGAAACUGUUUGAUCUGACAGAAAACUAAAUUAUGGCAACCAUAUAGAUAAGCCAAAAUGACAUCAAAAUAGCCACCAGGAAAAGUUAACUCUUUCCUGGCUAGGUAUGUUUAGUGGGACGAGACUGCCCUCUAUAGACCAAAUACUUAAAUUGUCAAAAGGAAGGUAAGCACACCUCUAGUGUUUCUAUUGGUCUAUUAACUAAUGACUUACAGAGAGUCUGGCCCUUUAAAAGUUAAGACAAAAAGAGAAGGAGGAAUUGGAAGUUUGGGGACUCCAACUCGGACAUGCAGAGAAACCCAGGACAACAUCUGAGACUAACACUCAACUCACAAACUCUUUGACACUUUCUAACCAACACUACUUUUCACUAUUACCCACGCACCUCCAUGCAGAGAGACAUCCAAACAAGUUCCUGAGACUACCAAUUUGAUGAAAAUAUCUACCCAACUGGUAAUUAUACUGGUUUCAUUUAAUUAAUUAAAUUAAUUAAAAUUUACUAAUAGCAUGAUAUAUGACUGGAU
Pelobates cultripes (western spadefoot toad) is the source of this 1479-nucleotide non-coding RNA. Lineage: Eukaryota; Metazoa; Chordata; Amphibia; Anura; Pelobatidae. The record is from the annotation of a GenBank genome assembly.